AGUUAAUUUACUUUAAAAGUACUUAUAUCUUGAAAAUAUAAAAAAGAAUAAUUUAUUUCUGUUAACUU
RNAcentral lists this transfer RNA (68 nucleotides) under Symplanella nigricans. RNAcentral's name for it is "tRNA-Ser". Lineage: Eukaryota; Metazoa; Arthropoda; Insecta; Hemiptera; Caliscelidae. The record is from RNAcentral.